RNAcentral lists this ribosomal RNA (441 nucleotides) under uncultured bacterium. Its description in RNAcentral is "partial 16S ribosomal RNA". It matches the Rfam family "Bacterial small subunit ribosomal RNA", at positions 338 to 795 of the family's 1533-position model. The record is from RNAcentral.
CCUACGGGAGGCAGCAGUGGGGGAUAUUGCACAAUGGGGGGAACCCUGAUGCAGCGACGCCGCGUGGGUGAAGGAGUGCUUCGGCAUGUAAAGCCCUAUCGGCAGGGAAGAAGCAAGACGGUACCUGACUAAGAAGCCCCGGCUAACUACGUGCCAGCAGCCGCGGUAAUACGUAGGGGGCGAGCGUUAUCCGGAUUCACUGGGUGUAAAGGGAGCGUAGACGGCCAUGCAAGCCAGGGGUGAAAGCCCGGGGCCCAACCCCGGGACUGCCCUUGGAACUGCAUGGCUGGAGUGCGGGAGGGGCAGGCGGAAUUCCUGGUGUAGCGGUGAAAUGCGUAGAUAUCAGGAGGAACAUCGGUGGCGAAAGCGCUUUACUGGACCAUUAUUGACGCUGAGGAACGAAAGCCAGGGGAGCAAAUGGGAUUAGAUACCCGAGUAGUC